AGGGGAGCCUGGGUGUUUCAGGAUGUGUAUGUGGGUUCGGGGCGGGGGGGGGGGGCGACAGAAUGCGUACUUCAGCGCCCCCACAACUGAGGAAGGUGGCCGGUGGGGACGCUUCCAGCUGGGCCUGCAGCGCUGCGUCCCCCAGAGAGCCCCUCCCACUAGUGUAAAACGGAAUCCAGUCCGGCCACGGGAGCCGGGUUCCGCUUCCCGCGGCCGGCCGGGCCGAACCGGGUCGGACUCGCCGCCUCCGCCCCAACCCCCACGCAGGGGGCCUCCCUCCCUUUCCAGCAGGUGGCUCCGCGGGGCACCAGCUCAACCUGUUGGACCACAAUGGGCGGCGCCAGGGGGGCCCUGGCCCUCACCCGGGCUGACCCGGGAUCCCCGCGCAGGGGGAGGGGCGGAGUCCGGGUCCCGCCCUCCCUCCUCUCCGGCCGUGACUCAGCCUCGGGGCCGCUGCCCUGCGCCCCAGCCAGGGGCGGAAAGUGUGAGGCGCCCCUGAGGGCCCAGGCCAAACCAAACAGCCCCCCACCUCAGACAUUAUCUCACUGGAGAAUUAGGGGGGCUGUAGGAAGGAGGGGGUGGCAGCAGGCUUGGGGCGCUCCCGCUCGCUCGAUCCGCUCCGGGUUUUCCUAUCCGCCCCGUCCCCCUUGGGCCCCGAGGCGGGUCACUGCUCCGGGUUUUCUUCUCGGCCCCGCCGGACAGAUUCUAGUCGGCCUGAAGGUCGCCAAGCUACCCGGAUAAAGACUACCUUGAGCGGGAAUACUAUGGAGAACCACGCUGCCGCAGGAAAGAGGGAGCAGGCUCCGUGUGUGCCCCUGCGGAGUCCCUGCCUCGUCGGAGGGGAAAAACCAGGGGGCAGCGCCGUGUGGAGACCAUGUUAGCAACUCCGAGAAUUCCUCCGGGCUCAGGGUGCCCGGCUGGCUCCGUCCGCAGAGUGCGUGAUUCUCAGUCUCGGGGUUGUGAGUUCGAGCCCCGUGUUGGGGCCAGAUAUUACUGAAAAAUAGAAAAACU
Long non-coding RNA from Leopardus geoffroyi (Geoffroy's cat), 1011 nucleotides. RefSeq lists it as uncharacterized. The record is from RefSeq and is a predicted model, not a curated record. The transcript has 2 exons. NCBI's taxonomy places the organism in Eukaryota, Metazoa, Chordata, Mammalia, Carnivora, Felidae.